Molecule: long non-coding RNA, 539 nt
Organism: Scylla paramamosain (green mud crab)
Lineage: Eukaryota; Metazoa; Arthropoda; Malacostraca; Decapoda; Portunidae
Exons: 2
Source: RefSeq, a predicted model, not a curated record
ACGAGUAGUAAGCACCAUGCUAGUGGACGUCCUCAUCAAUUUAGUACGAGAACGACGUGUUAUAUAUGAUCCUAGUGAUCCUGUGCACCGAGAUCGUGAUGCCAUUGCUGCUUCAUGGAAGGAUAUUGCUACAGAAAUGAAAUGCAAAGCUUAUGCUCAGCCUCUUCCUCUUCAUCAAGAAUGAUGGCAAUCAUUGCCAGUUCAACGUCUGAAAACUUUACCAUCUUGGAAACCACUGACGUAAUACGUAUGUGUGAACAGACGUCACUGAAGCAUCACAGAUUUCACUGACACGGAACUGAUACGUCACUGAUGUGUGUGAAUGGACCUUUAUGAUGGACAGCCUCGGUCACUAUAUGAGCGAUAGGUUGAUAUGGCGGGACACCAGCAAGAUGAUUACAGUCUGGCCAGUACUCUCUAUCACACUCCGAAUAAAUAUGCCUUACAUUGUCUUGAAACAUGGUCCAAUGAAAUCCUUUGUAUGGUCCAAUGAAAUCCUUUGUAGUAGCGUUGAAUUAAUAAAUCAUCACUAAAGUCCA